This 253-nucleotide ribosomal RNA is filed under the name uncultured bacterium. RNAcentral describes it as "partial 16S ribosomal RNA". It matches the Rfam family "Bacterial small subunit ribosomal RNA", at positions 524 to 776 of the family's 1533-position model. The record is from RNAcentral.
UACGUAGGGGUCGAGCGUUGUCCGGACUUACUGGGCGUAAAGCGUGGGUAGGUGGCCACUGAUGUGCCGUGUGAAAGCGCUGCGCUUCUCGCGGCGAGGUCGCGGUAGACACAGUGGCUCGAGGCACGGAGAGGGGCGUAGAAUUCCCGGUGUAGUGGUGAAAUGCGUAGAUAUCAGGAAGAACACCCGUGGCUAAGGCGGCUCUCUAGUACGGUACUGACGCUGAGACGCGAAAGCGUGGGGAGCGAACAGG